GCUUAACACAUGCAAGUCGAGGGGCAGCAUGGUCUUAGCUUGCUAAGGCCGAUGGCGACCGGCGCACGGGUGAGUAACACGUAUCCAACCUGCCGUCUACUCUUGGACAGCCUUCUGAAAGGAAGAUUAAUACAAGAUGGCAUCAUGAGUCCGCAUGUUCACAUGAUUAAAGGUAUUCCGGUAGACGAUGGGGAUGCGUUCCAUUAGAUAGUAGGCGGGGUAACGGCCCACCUAGUCUUCGAUGGAUAGGGGUUCUGAGAGGAAGGUCCCCCACAUUGGAACUGAGACACGGUCCAAACUCCUACGGGAGGCAGCAGUGAGGAAUAUUGGUCAAUGGGCGCAGGCCUGAACCAGCCAAGUAGCGUGAAGGAUGACUGCCCUAUGGGUUGUAAACUUCUUUUAUAAAGGAAUAAAGUCGGGUAUGUAUACCCGUUUGCAUGUACUUUAUGAAUAAGGAUCGGCUAACUCCGUGCCAGCAGCCGCGGUAAUACGGAGGAUCCGAGCGUUAUCCGGAUUUAUUGGGUUUAAAGGGAGCGUAGAUGGAUGUUUAAGUCAGUUGUGAAAGUUUGCGGCUCAACCGUAAAAUUGCAGUUGAUACUGGAUAUCUUGAGUGCAGUUGAGGCAGGCGGAAUUCGUGGUGUAGCGGUGAAAUGCUUAGAUAUCA
RNAcentral lists this ribosomal RNA (664 nucleotides) under uncultured Bacteroidales bacterium. RNAcentral's name for it is "bacterial SSU rRNA". It matches the Rfam family "Bacterial small subunit ribosomal RNA", at positions 46 to 699 of the family's 1533-position model. Lineage: Bacteria; Pseudomonadati; Bacteroidota; Bacteroidia; Bacteroidales. The record is from RNAcentral.